ACUACAGUGCACUGUAGCAGUUCUAUUCUCUAUUCACUUCUCCAAACUGUUGGUUUAAGAGCUGUUGUUUUUACAUUUUAGGAUCUUUUAAAUGAAUUUCCUCCAGACAUCUUGGAUUAUGGGAACUUACCGGUUCCAGUGCCCCAGUGCAGGUCUGUUCCAGUGCAGUAUAACAGGCCUGGUGUUCAGGAUGGAGGGAGAAGGAGAGGUGCUCUAUAGGACAGUCCACUGGGACAGGAGGCUUCUAUCCCAGAGAGGCAAGAGGCCUGCAGGACCUCUGUUCAUGUUUAGAUGCCUUAAGGGGUCUGUCAGUCAACUACACCUCCCACACUGUCAGAUGCAUUCUGGUGGUGGAUGUGACUUCCUGUCUGUAGCCCAUGUGACUGAUGACUGAGUUUAUCCCUCCUCGUGAGACAACAGACACACAUGUCACAAUAUACAUCACUGGAUUCUGUCUCGGUGCGGGAGGUGAUUGAAAGGGAUGGAAUUAGAGAAAUUCUAACAACUUCUCAGUGUAAACUGACCCUGAAAAAAGAAUACACCCUCUCCACUUAUUCUGCAGAUGGACAUCAAAUACAACCAAACGCAAAUCUGGGCUAUUUUUGAAGAACAAUUUUUUAUAUUCCGAUGUAACUUUUCAUUUCAUUCUCACUGACUACAAAGGUCUCUUGAUUUCAGGAAGCAGUGUUUGUGAAAUGUGAUUCCUAUGAAAACAACUACUUUCAGUUGUUCUUAUAAACUACAGUUAAAGAAGUUGAUCUGCUUCUGAAAGAAAAGGAAGGUGAUGAACUUGUAUGGAACAGACUUGUCUGGCUGCCAGGUAACAGACAUUCAGAGAUCAAAUCAAAUGAGGUCAGACCAGGAGCAGCAGAACUAGUACAUGUUGUAGUUCUCUGAUAGUAUUAUUGUUACGUGUUGUAGUUCUCUGAUAGUAGUACUGUUACAUGUUGUAGUUCUCUGAUAGUAGUACUGUUACAUGUUGUAGUUCUCUGAUAGUAGUACUGUUACAUGUUGUAGUACUGUUACAUGUUGUAGUUCUGUUACAUGUUGUAGUUCUCUGAUAGUAGUACUGUUACAUGUUGUAGUUCUCUGAUAGUAGUACUGUUACAUGUUGUAGUACUGUUACAUGUUGUAGUUCUCUGGUAGUAGUACUGUUACAUGUUGUAGUUCUCUGAUAGUAGUACUGUUACAUGUUGUAGUACUGUUACAUGUUGUAGUACUGUUACAUGUUGUAGUACUGUUACAUGUUGUAGUUCUCUGAUAGUAGUACUGUUACAUGUUGUAGUUCUCUGAUAGUAGUACUGUUACAUGUUGUAGUUCUCUGAUAGUAGUACUGUUACAUGUUGUAGUUCUCUGAUAGUAUUACUGUUACAUGUUGUAGUUCUCUGAUAGUAUUACUGUUACAUGUUGUAGUUCUCUGAUAGUAGUACUGUUACAUGUUGUAGUUCUCUGAUAGUAUUACUGUUACAUGUUGUAGUUCUCUGAUAAUAGUACUGUUACAUGUUGUAGUUCUCUGAUAGUAGUACUGUUACAUGUUGUAGUACUGUUACAUGUUGUAGUACUGUUACAUGUUGUAGUACUGUUACAUGUUGUAGUUCUCUGAUAGCAUUAUUGUUAUUGAACUAUGAUUGCAGCCAUAACAAGUUAACUUGUUUGCAGUGUGGACAAGUUACAAUGCCUUUUCUUGACUUGUCAUGCAUGUUGGGACCAGGGGAUUUCAUUGUUGUAUAUACUAUGUGUAGGCUGUGUAGACUCGCUAUGUGCAACUUAGGGGACGGCUGUCGGCAUCAACAAUACACAUUUAAAGCCAAACACAACAAGGCAUACAUUGAAAAAACACAGAAAAUCAACGAUCAAAUGGAUUACAUAACUGUACAUGUAAACCUAGGCGUACUGCUCAAAUCUGUCCAAAUAAGAUUCCCUCAUUGUGAGCAAUUAGCUAGCUCACGUGCAAAUGGGUGCUAAUUAAUGCUAUGCUAACAUUGGUGCGGUAGUUGGUCAUAUAAAAAUAUACCACUGCACUGGUAUUACAUGAAUAUUACAAAGUACAUAUGAAGAAUACAUACAAAUAUAUGUUAUUAAUUCAUAAUAAAGUAACAAGUGAUAACUUCUAGGCUA
Oncorhynchus tshawytscha (Chinook salmon) is the source of this 2118-nucleotide long non-coding RNA. RefSeq lists it as uncharacterized. The transcript has 4 exons. Lineage: Eukaryota; Metazoa; Chordata; Actinopteri; Salmoniformes; Salmonidae. The record is from RefSeq and is a predicted model, not a curated record.